GAUGAAGAACGCAGUGAAAUGCGAUAAUUAAUGUGAAUUGCAGAAUUCAGUGAAUCAUCGAGUCUUUGAACGCACAUUGCGCCCCCUGGUAUUCCGGGGGGCAUGCCUGUCCGAGCGUCAUUGCUGCCCUCAAGCACGGCUUGUGUGUUGGGCUUCCGUCCCUGGCAACGGGGACGGGCCCUAAAGGCAGUGGCGGCACCAUGUCUGGUCCUCGAGCGUAUGGGGCUUUGUCACCCGCUCCCGUAGGUCCAGCUGGCAGCUAGCCUCGCAACCAAUCUUUUUAACCAGGUUGACCUCGGAUCAGGUAGGGAUACCCGCUGAACUUAAGCAUAUCAAUAAGCGGAGGA
This 347-nucleotide unclassified non-coding RNA is filed under the name soil metagenome. RNAcentral describes it as "partial contains 5.8S ribosomal RNA, internal transcribed spacer 2, and large subunit ribosomal RNA". The stretch from base 1 to 120 matches the Rfam family "5.8S ribosomal RNA", at positions 35 to 154 of the family's 154-position model. The record is from RNAcentral.